ACAUGAAGGGCCUGAAAGUCGAGUCCCGGGCGCAGCGCGGCACCACUCCACCUCUGGUCAGCGACUCGAUCCGCGUCGACCGUCAGUACAGCUCGGAGGUGGCCACCAGCAAGCGUAGCGUCGAGGUCAAGCAGGCGCUGGUGGCGGUCAAGGAGACGCGACCCGUCUAUCAGCUGAGGAUGGCGCCGGCCGUGCCGCAGUAUACGGCCGGCAACUGACCUGACUCCGUGAUCACGGCGAUACGACCCCGACACGCAGCGAGCCGGUGAUACCAGCGGCGCCGCUUGCCGGUCCGCACGCCGCCGCGCGCCGCUGGGCCGGCCGCCGCCGCCAAGGACCCCCUCAGCGACCCGUUCUUCACUGCGCCCGACCCGCUGGACGACGUGAACCUGCCCAUGGCGCCGGCCUACGAUGACGUGCGUGGCAUCAUCGACCGCGCGCGCAGGCGCCACCGCGACCUCCGG
Molecule: long non-coding RNA, 464 nt
Organism: Pollicipes pollicipes
Lineage: Eukaryota; Metazoa; Arthropoda; Thecostraca; Pollicipedomorpha; Pollicipedidae
Exons: 3
Source: RefSeq, a predicted model, not a curated record